UACGUAGGUGGCAAGCGUUGUCCGGAAUUAUUGGGCGUAAAGCGCGCGCAGGUGGUUUCUUAAGUCUGAUGUGAAAGCCCACGGCUCAACCAUGGAGGGUCAUUGGAAACUGGGGAACUUGAGUGCAGAAGAGGAAAGUGGAAUUCCAAGUGUAGCGGUGAAAUGCGUAGAGAUUUGGAGGAACACCAGUGGCGAAGGCGACUUUCUGGUCUGUAACUGACACUGAGGCGCGAAAGCGUGGGGAGCGAACAGG
This 253-nucleotide ribosomal RNA is filed under the name uncultured bacterium. Its description in RNAcentral is "partial 16S ribosomal RNA". It matches the Rfam family "Bacterial small subunit ribosomal RNA", at positions 524 to 776 of the family's 1533-position model. The record is from RNAcentral.